UUUCUGAGUUUUUUCUAGAAAAUUUAUUCUAAAAUUUUUAGUUUUUUUGGUGUUAUUUUUUUAACCAUUUACAAUGGCUCUAAUACGCCUUGUAGAAAUGUCACGAAAUUACCAUAAUAUUUUCCAAUUUAUUUGACUUCCUUUUAAAUAAUUGGAUUUAAAACAUAAUUUAAUAAUAUUUAAUUCAUAAUCUAAUUUCCCUCUGGGAUUAAUAAAGUAUUUCUGAAUUUGAAUUUAAUUUCGAAUUUCGAUUCAAAUGAAAGGAAUAACGUGACUUAUUGCUAAUUAUGUAUUUUUGUUUUCCGUUGUCGUCCAUCUCCACCACCUUUCACUCGCUCUAUAAGUAACUCUGAGUAGAAGAUGUCGGCAAAAUCUUCAGUGAUUCAUUUCGGCUGCAUAAAGUCAUAAAGAUAUUUGUAAAGAAACAGCCAGAAGAAAACAUACAGCGACUUAUAAAAUGUUUGGUAAGCCUUGUGUAAGUGAUGCUAGCAUGCUACCUAGCUAACUGACGUUUGCUAGCUAAGCUAGCUAACGUUAGCGCAUUUUUGUCACCAGGCCUCACACAAAGAUUUAGUCAAUAUUAGCUACACAUAUUAAGUAUGUAUACAGUACAUACUUGUAUACAGUCUGUUCUGUAUGUUUUAUGGCGCUGUUUUCUAUAAAAAGGCGAUUUUAAACCA
Molecule: long non-coding RNA, 680 nt
Organism: Xiphophorus hellerii (green swordtail)
Lineage: Eukaryota; Metazoa; Chordata; Actinopteri; Cyprinodontiformes; Poeciliidae
Exons: 2
Source: RefSeq, a predicted model, not a curated record